This 253-nucleotide ribosomal RNA is filed under the name uncultured bacterium. RNAcentral describes it as "partial 16S ribosomal RNA". It matches the Rfam family "Bacterial small subunit ribosomal RNA", at positions 524 to 776 of the family's 1533-position model. The record is from RNAcentral.
GACGUAGGGCGCGAGCGUUGUCCGGAUUUAUUGGGCGUAAAGCGCGUGUAGGCGGCUCGGUAAGUCUGCUGUGAAAGUCCAAGGCUCAACCUUGGAAAGCCGGUGGAUACUGUCGAGCUCGAGUCCGGAGGAGGCGAGUGGAAUUCCUGGUGUAGCGGUGAAAUGCGCAGAUAUCAGGAGGAACACCAAUGGCGAAGGCAGCUCGCUGGGACGGUACUGACGCUGAGGCGCGAAAGCCAGGGGAGCAAACGGG